GUGCCAGCCGCCGCGGUAAUACCGGCAGCGCAAGUGAUGGCCGAUCUUAUUGGGCCUAAAGCGUCCGUAGCUGGCCGGGCAAGUCCAUCGGGAAAUCCACCCGCUCAACGGGUGGGCGUCCGACGGAAACUGCACAGCUUGGGACCGGAAGGCUCGAAGGGUACGUUCGGGGUAGGAGUGAAAUCCCAUAAUCCCGCACGGACCACCGAUGGCGAAAGCACUUCGAGAAAACGGAUCCGACAGUGAGGGACGAAAGCCAGGGUCUCCAACCGGAUUAGAUACCCCGGUAGUCC
RNAcentral lists this ribosomal RNA (293 nucleotides) under uncultured bacterium. Its description in RNAcentral is "partial 16S ribosomal RNA". It matches the Rfam family "Archaeal small subunit ribosomal RNA", at positions 455 to 747 of the family's 1478-position model. The record is from RNAcentral.